Molecule: long non-coding RNA, 358 nt
Organism: Poecilia latipinna (sailfin molly)
Lineage: Eukaryota; Metazoa; Chordata; Actinopteri; Cyprinodontiformes; Poeciliidae
Exons: 2
Source: RefSeq, a predicted model, not a curated record
CUAGGUGACAGGCUGAGCUCGGCUGAGGAUGCUAGGUGACAGGCUGGGCUCGGCUGAGGAUGCUAGGUGACAGGCUGAGCUUGGCUGAGGAUGCUAGGUAACAGGGUGGGCUCAGCUGAGGUUGCUAGGUAACAGGGUGGGCUCGGCUGAGGUUGCUAGGCAAUGGAGCCAAUGGAACUCAUACUUUUUCUUCAAUAUUGUGUGAUUAUUGACUAAACAAGCUCCUACAUCGUGAUAAGAAAGUGAUUUGUAAGUUAGUUUUGUUGGUAAUAUUUUGUAUUUUUGCAGUGAAUGCCAUCACGUUGGUCACCAGUCCACUUCCUGUGUCCAGCUGAAUGUUCCAGGAAGUGUAAAAAAA